GCUUACGGCCAUACCACCCUGUCUGCGCCUGGUUUCAGAAGCUAAGAAGGGUCGGUCCUGGUUAGUACUUGGAUGGGAAACUGCCUGGGAAUACCAGGUGCUGUAAGCU
RNAcentral lists this ribosomal RNA (109 nucleotides) under Sinocyclocheilus anshuiensis. The record is from RNAcentral. Lineage: Eukaryota; Metazoa; Chordata; Actinopteri; Cypriniformes; Cyprinidae.